CAAUAGCGUAUAUUAAAGUUGUUGCAGUUAAAAAGCUCGUAGUUGGAUUUCUGGUGAGAUGGAUUAUGUCUAGGUCGAAAGAUCUUGUUCAUGGUUCGUUUUGCCCUUCUUGUCAGGAACCCGCUGAGAUUCGCGUCUUGUCGGUGGAAUGGCAUCGUUUACUGUGAAAAAAUUAGAGUGUUCAAAGCAGGCAUCGCCGUUGAAUACAUUAGCAUGGAAUAAUAAGAUAAGACUUUGGUGGUCUAUUUUGUUGGUUUGCACGCCAAAGUAAUGAUUAAUAGGGAUAGUUGAGGGUAUUCGUAUUCUAUUGCUAGAGGUGAAAUUCUUAAAUUUAUGGAAGACGAACUACUGCGAAAGCAUUUACCAAGGAUGUUUUCAUUAA
Molecule: ribosomal RNA, 382 nt
Filed under: uncultured eukaryote
Lineage: Eukaryota
Description: partial 18S ribosomal RNA
Rfam family: Eukaryotic small subunit ribosomal RNA
Source: RNAcentral